Molecule: ribosomal RNA, 429 nt
Filed under: Salmonella enterica subsp. enterica serovar Infantis
Lineage: Bacteria; Pseudomonadati; Pseudomonadota; Gammaproteobacteria; Enterobacterales; Enterobacteriaceae
Also listed under: 3 other names
Description: bacterial SSU rRNA
Rfam family: Bacterial small subunit ribosomal RNA
Source: RNAcentral
CCCGCAACGAGCGCAACCCUUAUCCUUUGUUGCCAGCGGUCCGGCCGGGAACUCAAAGGAGACUGCCAGUGAUAAACUGGAGGAAGGUGGGGAUGACGUCAAGUCAUCAUGGCCCUUACGACCAGGGCUACACACGUGCUACAAUGGCGCAUACAAAGAGAAGCGACCUCGCGAGAGCAAGCGGACCUCAUAAAGUGCGUCGUAGUCCGGAUUGGAGUCUGCAACUCGACUCCAUGAAGUCGGAAUCGCUAGUAAUCGUGGAUCAGAAUGCCACGGUGAAUACGUUCCCGGGCCUUGUACACACCGCCCGUCACACCAUGGGAGUGGGUUGCAAAAGAAGUAGGUAGCUUAACCUUCGGGAGGGCGCUUACCACUUUGUGAUUCAUGACUGGGGUGAAGUCGUAACAAGGUAACCGUAGGGGAACCUGC